AAUCAACGCUGGCGGCGUGCCUCAGACAUGCAAGUCGAACGCGAAAGUUUCCUUCGGGAAGCGAGUAGAGUGGCGUCCGGGUGAGUAACACGUAGGUAAUCUACCUUUGGGUGGGGAAUAACAACCGGAAACGGUUGCUAAUACCGCAUAAUGCAGCGGCACCACAUGGUGACAGUUGUUAAAGCGGGGGAUCGCAAGACCUCGCGCCUAAAGAGGAGCCUGCGGCGGAUUAGCUAGNGGUAAGGUAACGGCUUACCAAGGCAACGAUCCGUAGCCGGCCUGAGAGGGCGGUCGGGCCACACUGACACUGAAAUACGGGUCAGGACUCCUACGGGAGGCGAGCAGUCGGGAAUUUUGGGCAAUGGGCGAAAGCCUGACCCAGCAACGCCGCGUGAAGGAU
Molecule: ribosomal RNA, 400 nt
Filed under: uncultured bacterium
Lineage: Bacteria
Description: bacterial SSU rRNA
Rfam family: Bacterial small subunit ribosomal RNA
Source: RNAcentral